UCCCACAAGGAUCCUGGUUACCCAGUGGCUGCCUUUUCCUGCCUCUCAACUGUGGGUGUUCUAAGAGCAAAAGGCCGAAGGUGACUGGAAGCAAAAGGAAAAAGAAAAUCCUCUUUUCUGUCCUCUGCUGCUUUCAUGAGAAUGUUGGACUUUAAAUCAAGGGAAGCUGAGGCCCAGAGAUGAAGGGAAUGUAUAAAUCAGAGGCAGAACAACAAGCAAGCGUCUUGCAGAGCAUGUGAGGAGCCACUGAUGGUUCUAGUGAGGAGGCUCACUGAGAAGCAAUAUGGGAUGGCCCCUCAACAGCAAAGAGCCAAGAAGGUUAGGUGUUUGAGGCUGAUGAUGAAAGGCCUUCCAGCUCCUGUGUGUCGGUCACAUAAUGACAGGAUGGCAAAACAGAGGAAAGACUUCAUACAUAUCGAGAAGUGGAGGAAGGAAGUGGGGAGUGACCUUGGCAAUCAAGCAGACUCUGGUUUGAACGUCAGCUCCACUAGUUCUUGACCAUGCUACCUGGACUUCUUAAGACUAACGCUCAUUUAUGAACUUGGCUGUUGUGAACAGCAUUUCCACUAAUGUCAACCAUGGACAUACCACUUUCAUGCUGCCUGUCAUAACUUUAUCCCAUCUUAAAUAGCUUAAUACAAGGGUAAGUUUUUAAAAAGUAGUCUAAGGGGACUCCUGGGUGGUUCAGUCAGU
This is a non-coding RNA of Leptonychotes weddellii (Weddell seal), 693 nucleotides long. Lineage: Eukaryota; Metazoa; Chordata; Mammalia; Carnivora; Phocidae. The record is from RefSeq and is a predicted model, not a curated record.